AGUCCCUUCGGGGACAUCCGAUAA
This 24-nucleotide small nuclear RNA is filed under the name Arabidopsis thaliana (thale cress). Its description in RNAcentral is "ncRNA (U6.11p)". Lineage: Eukaryota; Viridiplantae; Streptophyta; Magnoliopsida; Brassicales; Brassicaceae. The record is from RNAcentral.